UGAGGAAUAUUGCGCAAUGGAGGAAACUCUGACGCAGCAACGCCGCGUGGGUGAAGAAGGCUUUCGGGUUGUAAAGCCCUGUCAGGUGGGAAGAAACCUCUUUGAGUAAAUAGCUCAGAGAACUGACGGUACCACCAAAGGAAGCACCGGCUAACUCCGUGCCAGCAGCCGCGGUAAGACGGAGGGUGCAAGCGUUGUUCGGAAUCACUGGGCGUAAAGCGCGUGUAGGCGGCCCGAUUAGUCGAGUGUGAAAGCCCGGGGCUCAACCUCGGAAGCGCAUUCGAAACUGUCGGGCUUGAGUACGGGAGAGGGAAGUGGAAUUCCUGGUGUAGAGGUGAAAUUCGUAGAUAUCAGGAGGAACACCGGUGGCGAAGGCGGCUUCCUGGACCGAUACUGACGCUGAGACGCGAAAGCGUGGGGAGCAAACAGG
RNAcentral lists this ribosomal RNA (430 nucleotides) under uncultured bacterium. RNAcentral describes it as "bacterial SSU rRNA". It matches the Rfam family "Bacterial small subunit ribosomal RNA", at positions 355 to 776 of the family's 1533-position model. The record is from RNAcentral.